This 466-nucleotide ribosomal RNA is filed under the name uncultured bacterium. Its description in RNAcentral is "partial 16S ribosomal RNA". It matches the Rfam family "Bacterial small subunit ribosomal RNA", at positions 28 to 507 of the family's 1533-position model. The record is from RNAcentral.
GACGAACGCUGGCGGCGUGCUUAACACAUGCCAGUCGAACGGAAAGGCCAGUGCUUGCACUGGUACUCGAGUGGCGAACGGGUGAGUAACACGUGGGUGAUCUGCCUUGCACUCUGGGAUAAGCUUGGGAAACUGGGUCUAAUACCGGAUAUGAACUGCCUUUAGUGUGGUGGUUGGAAAGUUUUUUCGGUGCAAGAUGAGCUCGCGGCCUAUCCGCUUGUUUGUGGGGUAAUGGCCUACCAAGGCGUCGACGGGUAGCCGGCCUGAGAGGGUGUACGGCCACAUUGGGACUGAGGUACGGACCAGUCUCGUACGGGAGGCAGCAGUGGGGAAUAUUGCACAAUGGGCGGAAGCCUGAUGCAGCGACGCCGCGUGGGGGAUGACGGCCUUCGGGUUGUAAACUCCUUUCGACAGGGACGAAGCGUAAGUGACGGUACCUGUAUAAGAAGCACCGGCUAACUACGUG